RNAcentral lists this ribosomal RNA (253 nucleotides) under uncultured bacterium. RNAcentral describes it as "partial 16S ribosomal RNA". It matches the Rfam family "Bacterial small subunit ribosomal RNA", at positions 524 to 776 of the family's 1533-position model. The record is from RNAcentral.
UACGAAGGGGGCGAGCGUUGUUCGGAAUUACUGGGCGUAAAGGGCUCGUAGGCGGCCAACUAAGUCAGACGUGAAAUCCCUCGGCUUAACCGGGGAACUGCGUCUGAUACUGGAUGGCUAGAGGUUGGGAGAGGGAUGCGGAAUUCCAGGUGUAGCGGUGAAAUGCGUAGAUAUCUGGAGGAACACCGGUGGCGAAGGCGGCAUCCUGGACCAAUUCUGACGCUGAGGAGCGAAAGCCAGGGGAGCAAGCGGG